RNAcentral lists this long non-coding RNA (1200 nucleotides) under Betta splendens (Siamese fighting fish). RNAcentral describes it as "lncRNA (ENSBSLG00000013335.1)". The record is from RNAcentral. Lineage: Eukaryota; Metazoa; Chordata; Actinopteri; Anabantiformes; Osphronemidae.
AUGGCACGGCUGCUGCGGCGAGGACCUGUCGCGCUCUCUCUCUUCUUUCUGUCUUUGGUCCGUGGUUCUGAGGUGAUUGUAGGAGACGCGUUCACUUUCCAGGACACUUCCCACUGUAAAGCAGCUGAAGGCGAACUGAUUCACCGGGACCGAAACCAGCGGGUGGCGUUUCACACUGAAGGCGUGUGGAAACCUGACGACUAUUACAAGGACAGAGUUCAUUCAAACUCGUCCGUCUCCUUCGCUCGCACAGUUUUCACAGACUCUGGUACGUACGAGUUAAUCUGCGACCACAGUCAGGCUAAGUUUAUUGUCAUCCAGCUGAAGGUGGUUGCGCCACAUUACGCAUCAGUGUCGGAGGGAGACGCCGUCAAACUCCAGUGCUUUUAUGACACUAAAGCCUCAGCCGUGGAGUCCGUGGGGUGGAUGAAACACGGGGAGCUCGUGUUUGAGAGGAACUUUUCCUCCAGUGGAGUCAGACGUGGAGCGGGACACGAGGGGAGGGUGUCGAUGUCACGUGAAGCCUCUGGAGAUGGAGACCUGUCUGUGGAUGUGGCAGCGGCUCACGCGGAGGAUGCUGGAGACUACUUCUGCUACGUUCGCACGAAAGAAAGAGGAGAGAAUGAGUUUGUUGGUGCUGUGAGACUGACGGUCAACGGGAAAACCCUGAAUAAGACUAAGCCAACACAAAUCUGUCCUGAGGACAAAAGUUUGGGAUCUGGGACUAUUAUCGGUUUGAUAUUUGGAUUUUUAACUGUGGCCAUUCUUUUUACUCUUCUUGGCUGGUGCCUGACGUCUCACACUUAAAUAGUUCGUCCGUGCACCAGCCAGGAGGAGAAUCAGAGGCUGUGAACCCACAGCGUCCUCGUCCCCCUCAGAGCAAUGAAUGUUCACCAAUACAUAGUCAGGAAGAGGAGAGUCAUAAUGUCAUGACCAGUUAAUAAUGUUUUAAUCAGUGAGAGUUGACCCUAAUGAACUAAUAGCAUCACUCAGCCACCAAGCUGUGGAAUGCAACGUGUGACAUCAACACUCCUCAGGCUUUACACACUGAGUGGCACUGGUACAUGCUGUCAUGUUUUUAUUUACUCACUUUGCACUUGGUAAUUCAACGUGCUAUUUGAUCAUGUAAUUUAAAGUGCAUUUUCAGCAAUUCAGUGUUAAAAAGUGUCAAUUCAAAUAAAAGCUAAAUGAGUUGUUUCA